Unclassified non-coding RNA from Callithrix jacchus (white-tufted-ear marmoset), 349 nucleotides. It matches the Rfam family "Metazoan signal recognition particle RNA". From Rfam's summary of the family: The signal recognition particle (SRP) is a universally conserved ribonucleoprotein. It is involved in the co-translational targeting of proteins to membranes. The eukaryotic SRP consists of a 300-nucleotide 7S RNA and six proteins: SRPs 72, 68, 54, 19, 14, and 9. The record is from Ensembl. NCBI's taxonomy places the organism in Eukaryota, Metazoa, Chordata, Mammalia, Primates, Cebidae.
GCGAGGUGCAGUGGGGCAUUCCUGUAGUCCCAGCUACUUGGGAGGCUGAGGUAGGAGGACCUAGGAAUUCUGGGCUGUAGAACUGCCCCUGUAAGAUAGUUGGGCUGGGUAUAGAAUUCCAGUUUGGAAAUUGCUUUUCUGCGCUAUGCUGAUCAAGUGUCUGCACUAAGUUUAGCAUCAAUAUGGUGACCUCUCGAAGGCAGGGGACCACCAAAUUGCCUAAGGAGAGGUGAACUGGCCCAGGUCAGAGAUAGAGCAGGUCAAAACUCCUGUGCUGAUCAGUAGUGGGAUCAUGCCCAUGAAUAGCCACUGCACUCCAGACUGGGCAACAUAGUGAGACCUGUCUCUA